UAAGUAUUCCGCCUGGGGAGUACGGUCGCAAGAUUAAAACUCAAAGGAAUUGACGGGGACCCGCACAAGCAGCGGAGCAUGUGGUUUAAUUCGAAGCAACGCGAAGAACCUUACCUAGACUUGACAUCUCCUGAAUUACUCGUAAUGGAGGAAGCCCUUCGGGGCAGGAAGACAGGUGGUGCAUGGUUGUCGUCAGCUCGUGUCGUGAGAUGUUGGGUUAAGUCCCGCAACGAGCGCAACCCUUAUCGUUAGUUGCUACCAUUAAGUUGAGCACUCUAACGAGACUGCCGCGGUUAACGUGGAGGAAGGUGGGGAUGACGUCAAAUCAUCAUGCCCCUUAUGUCUAGGGCUACACACGUGCUACAAUGGCCGGUACAACGAGAUGCAAACCCGUGAGGGGGAGCCAAACUUCAAAGCCGGUCCCAGUUCGGAUUGUAGGCUGAAACUCGCCUACAUGAAGUCGGAGUUGCCAGUAAUCGCGAAUCAGCAUGUCGCGGUGAAUACGUUCCCGGGUCUUGUACACACCGCCCGUCACACCAUGAGAGCCGGUAACACCCGAAGUCCGUGAGGUAACCUUUAUGGAGCCA
Molecule: non-coding RNA, 587 nt
Filed under: Clostridium colicanis DSM 13634
Lineage: Bacteria; Bacillati; Bacillota; Clostridia; Eubacteriales; Clostridiaceae
Description: Bacterial small subunit ribosomal RNA
Rfam family: Bacterial small subunit ribosomal RNA
Source: Rfam by way of RNAcentral